AUGGAGCCAAGGCUCAUCCUGCUCAAGGCAAAUACCAUCAAUGCUGCAGCAGAAGAGAUAGUUGGUAUUCUGGAGGGCACGACCAAACACGAAAGAAAUAUCUUCUUCCGUGGCUGGCAGGGACUCGGGGCAUCCACUGUUCUCAGAGUGGUUGCCCAACGCCUGAAAUCAUCAGCUGCUCAAGAAAUGAAGUUUCAAAAGGUUGUACACGUGGAUUGCUCAUUGUGGCAAAGCAUGAGAGCCCUGCAAAGGGCAAUUGCUGAGGAGCUAGAGCUUCCCCAGUCGGUGAUGUCCAUGUUUGAUCAGCAUGAUGAGGAGGAUGAUUUCAAUGGGAUAGACCAAGGCUCUAGAGGGGUAAUAAGUGAUGUCACAGGGGAGAUCUUCAGAAAGCUUUAUAACAGUACAUUUGUGGUGAUUUUUCACAACGGGAACAACCACUACAUUGAUUUGUAUGAGUGUGGUCUCCCCAUAACUACAUUUUUGAGUAACAAGGUGUUGUGGACCUGGGGCAGGAGGCUCCGACUCUAUAACGAAGAAGAAGAAGAUGAAUUCGAGAAAACUGCGAGUAAGGCUGAUAUUGACAUGGGAGGUCAAGAAUUGCGGAGAAAUGUAUUGCAUGAAGAGGCCGCCAAGUACAUUGAUAUUCUUGAGCCUGGCACAGUAGUUGAGUGCUUCCAGUACGUCUGGGCAAGAAAACGUGCCGGCUGUAUUGACUGGCGAAUGCAUGCUUCAAACUAUUGGAUAUGUGAUGGGAUUAUACUAGAGGAAGGCAAUCCGUCUGCAUGGGAGGUUGGUGAUGCUCUAGAGAGAUACAUCUACUUGGAUUGGAUUAUGGAGGAAGAUAAUCCCAGUGAAGAUGAAGAUGAAGAUGCAAUUGAUGCUUACAUUUCUGGCCCUAAUGACCGUUCGGUUUCAGCCACACACCAACCCCUGAUACAUGAUGAUAUUGGUGUGCUGCCUCUUCGAGCGACAUCCUUCCUCCUCCUAGCAGAUAAAUCAAAUGGUAGGAGGGUGAAGCCUCUAUUAUCAGUUGUCAUGUUCCCAGACAACAAUAGGCUGCGUGUGUUGCACCUAUCUUGGUGCACCUUCAGUUUUACAUCUCCUCCCUUCCUCUGCUGCAGCCACCUAAGAUUCCUCCUGCUGGACCAUUGCACAGAUAUCAAAGAUGAAGAGCAUAAAAGCAAAAACCAAAAUGGAUCAUGCUUCCAAAAGCUAUGGGUGCUGGACCUGAGGUAUACAGACUGGUACUCAGAAAAGAUGAUGUGUUUAAUGGAUGAACUCAGGGAGCUGAAUGUGGAGGGAGUCAGGGACUGGAGGGUAGUUGAUCUUUGUGGCAGUAAAACUAGGCUUGUCAAGCUCCGAGUAGAAGCUGACCCAGACGCUGCAACUGAAAUAACCAUGCACAAGCCAGUCCCUAACAUGUCCAACGCCAACCACCUUAAGACAAUUAUCCUUGAGAGUUGCGUUGGAUUGGAACAAGUUGUUCCCGAUGUUCUUCCCCCGUUACUUGAGUCAUUUAGCUUUACUGUAGAUGAUGACGCUAUUGCUAAGAUAUCCAGCAUCUCCUUCCAGGGCCUCGCUAAAUUGAAGAGUGUGCUGCUGAGAGGCUUGAUGGAGAGCCUCGAGGAGCUGGACCUCUCAGGCACAGCAGUGAAGACCCUCGACCUUAGAGAAGUGGUAGCAAGAAACCUCAAGCAGCUCAUCAUGUUGGGCUGCCAGAAGUUGCAAGCAAUACAAUGGCCGCGAAUAGGAGAAAGGCCAUGGUGGUUGGAGGUGUUGCGCGUCGACACCGUACAAUCCGGAUCAUCUGGCCAAGGCAAUUGUGAAGAAAAAUCCAAGGAGACUAUUGCUGCUACAGGAUCAUCACAGAAUAUUGCAGUUGUUGCUAUGAAACAAGAUGCAUCUUUUGAUAAAUACAUCUAUGUAAGGGACGGAAGGCUCCUGAGGUCACUAGUGCCUGUCAGAGCAUCUUUUGAGCUUAGGGGUGGACAUAUGGAGAUGUCAUCAUCACCUGCAAGUAGUGUUGCUGUUGGUGAUCGUGGAUAUGCCCAACGAAUUAGACAUCCUGAUCAUUAUUUAUAUGCAAGAGAUAUCGUAUUUCAAUACCACCUUCACGUUGUUGCUGCUAAUGAAGGUGCAAUCAGGUGGAUGUGGGCUUGUCCACCUGCUCCUGUUGUUGAUACAGUCAAGGAUUGGUAUGUCCACAUACAAGUUGAAGAGGGUAUGAAGAAGAGUGGCUUACUGAAGCAGGAAGGUGGCACCCAAGGAACUAUUACUGGUGCUACUUCAAUCCCAGAUGAUAUAUGCAGAUUACAUGCUAAGAUGUUGCAUGUGCAUGAUUGCUUGUCCAUCACUAGCAUCCCAGUCCCAAGAGAUCUUGUUUGGACACGACUUGAACAGUGUCGAGUUGAGAGGUGCCCCAAUAUAAGCUCUGUCUUUGCUGCUCUCAAAGGAAGUUAUACUAAUUAUGUUAUGUUUUGCUUUUAUCACUUGACCACAUUCUGGGCAUCCCAGCUCCUGAUGGCGCGCUACAUAUGGAACUGGAAUACAAUAUGGCAACCCAGUGAGCAUUCCUUUCGAGACCUAGAAUUUUUGCACCUAGACUACUGCCCAAGGCUCAUACAUGUGCUCCCCUUAUCUGUGGAUAUGACUACCUUGCCUCACCUAGUGACCCUCGAGAUUGUGUGCUGUGGCGAUAUCAUGGAGAUCUUCCCUCUGGAUCCCGAGCGCCAAGAGAAGCAAACAAUUAUAAAUUUCCCCGAGCUCAAGCACAUCCACCUGCACGAUCUCCCCAGGCUGCAGCACAUCUGUGGAAGUAGGAUGUUAGCACCAAAACUUGAAACUAUCAAGAUAAGGGGCUGUUGGAGCCUCAAGCGCCUGCCUGCCGUUGCGAAGAAAUUCCCCAAGGUGGACUGCGAGAAGGACUGGUGGGACAGUUUGGAGUGGCACGAGGGGGAUGUGAACCACCACCCUUCGCUCUACAAGCCGACCCACUCAAGGUACUACAAGAAGUCCCAGUUGCCGAGAGGCAGCGUACUCAGGUAA
RNAcentral lists this ribosomal RNA (3045 nucleotides) under Triticum aestivum (bread wheat). RNAcentral's name for it is "partial small subunit ribosomal RNA". Lineage: Eukaryota; Viridiplantae; Streptophyta; Magnoliopsida; Poales; Poaceae. The record is from RNAcentral.